UUAUUUUCUAUUUUAUAUGCAAAACAUCGUGGUAUAUUUCUUUCACGUCUAUUGUGAAUUUUAUGUGUUUAUAUCUAUGGGGGAAAUUUUUAUGUACCGAUAUGAGAAAGACGUUAUGAUAAAGUUUUGAAAUAUAUGGAUAUUUUUAAAAUAUCAACAUUAAUAAUGUAGUGUUUCCUAAUAAAAAGAAUUCAUUUGAUAUGCAAAACACUAUUGAAUAUUUGCACCAGAC
This 232-nucleotide long non-coding RNA is filed under the name Medicago truncatula (barrel medic). RNAcentral describes it as "lncRNA gene2216". Lineage: Eukaryota; Viridiplantae; Streptophyta; Magnoliopsida; Fabales; Fabaceae. The record is from RNAcentral.